CUUCGUGGUUGUGUCAACCCAGUUGUUGUCUGAUUAAAAGUUAAUGCACGUGAACUGUGAGAGUUACAGAAUCUUAGUGGUACAUUCGUAUUCGACUUCGAAUAAUAAUUUAAAAAAUGAUUUACUCAAUUAUUUCUGGACACCCUGUGGAUUGAUACACGUGUAGCGUGACAGACACGUGCGAACGGACGAAGCUUCGAAGAGGAAUGACGCAUUACGCCACACUCCACGCACCUUACCCUCCAACGAUGAAUCUGAUUGGUCGAAAUAAGAGGACGCCAUAAUGAGACGACCAAUCAUAGCCAUUGAUACAAAUUUGAGAUUGCUUCGAAAUAAGGGAAAAGAUUUAAUCUCACUUUGUUAUAAACGCGUGCACUCACAACGAAGUUGUGGAAGGAAGUGACGUAAUUAGGCAGACCUGCGCACAUCGCCGAAAACGACGAUUCUGAUUGGUCGAAAUAGGACAACACCUAUCUUGAUUUAACUUUUAUUUACUUGUAAUUAUGU
This is a non-coding RNA of Osmia lignaria (orchard mason bee), 507 nucleotides long. The record is from RefSeq and is a predicted model, not a curated record. NCBI's taxonomy places the organism in Eukaryota, Metazoa, Arthropoda, Insecta, Hymenoptera, Megachilidae.